This 448-nucleotide ribosomal RNA is filed under the name uncultured bacterium. RNAcentral describes it as "bacterial SSU rRNA". It matches the Rfam family "Bacterial small subunit ribosomal RNA", at positions 329 to 794 of the family's 1533-position model. The record is from RNAcentral.
GACCAGACUCCUACGGGAGGCAGCAGUGGGGAAUAUUGCACAAUGGGGGAAACCCUGAUGCAGCGACGCCGCGUGAGCGAUGAAGUAUUUCGGUAUGUAAAGCUCUAUCAGCAGGGAAGAAGAUGACGGUACCUGACUAAGAAGCCCCGGCUAACUACGUGCCAGCAGCCGCGGUAAUACGUAGGGGGCAAGCGUUAUCCGGAUUCACUGGGUGUAAAGGGAGCGUAGACGGCGACGCAAGUCUGGAGUGAAAGCCCGGGGCUCAACCCCGGGACUGCUCUUGGAACUGCGUGGCUGGAGUGCAGGAGGGGCAGGCGGAAUUCCUGGUGUAGCGGUGAAAUGCGUAGAUAUCAGGAGGAACACCGGUGGCGAAGGCGGCCUGCUGGACUGCAACUGACGUUGAGGCCCGAAAGCGUGGGGAGCAAACAGGAUUAGAUACCCGGGUAAC